Molecule: ribosomal RNA, 468 nt
Filed under: uncultured bacterium
Lineage: Bacteria
Description: partial 16S ribosomal RNA
Rfam family: Bacterial small subunit ribosomal RNA
Source: RNAcentral
GACGAACGCUGGCGGCGUGCUUAACACAUGCAAGUCGAACGGAAAGGCCCUGCUUUUGUGGGGUGCUCGAGUGGCGAACGGGUGAGUAACACGUGAGUAACCUGCCCUUGACUUUGGGAUAACUUCAGGAAACUGGGGCUAAUACCGGAUAGAAGCUCCUGCUGCAUGGUGGGGGUUGGAAAGUUUCGGCGGUUGGGGAUGGACUCGCGGGUUAUCAGCUUGUUGGUGGGGUAGGGGCUUACCAAGGCUUUGACGGGUAGCCGGCCCGGGAGGGUGACCGGCCACAAUGGGACUGCGAUACGGCGCAGACUCCUACGUGAGGCAGCAGUGGGGAAUAUUGCGCAAUGGGCGGAAGCCUGAUGCAGCAGCGCCGCGUGCGGGAUGCCGGGCUUCGGGUUGUAAACCGCUUUCGCCUGUGACGAAGCGUGAGUGACGGUAAUGGGUAAAGAAGCACCGGCUAACUACGUG